Zalophus californianus (California sea lion) is the source of this 107-nucleotide small nuclear RNA. The record is from Ensembl. Lineage: Eukaryota; Metazoa; Chordata; Mammalia; Carnivora; Otariidae.
GUGCUUGCUUUGGCAGCACAUAAACUAAAAUUGGAACAAUACAGAGAAGAUCAGCAUGGCCCUGGCGCAAGGAUGACAUGCAAAUGUGUGACGCAUUAAAAAAAAAA